CAAUAGCGUAUAUUAAAGUUGUUGCAGUUAAAAAGCUCGUAGUUGGAUUUCUGGUUGAAGCGACCGGUCGGGCGUUGAUUCGUCUGCACUGGAGUCGGUUUUGGCCAUCCUCUAGGAAAGUGCGUCUGGUAUUAAGUUAUCGGGCGUAUGAUCCUGGUCUUUUACUGUGAAAAAAUUAGAGUGUUUAAAGCAGGCCUUCGCCUUGAAUACAUUAGCAUGGAAUAAUAAGAUAGGACUUUGGUCUAUUUUGUUGGUUUGCAGACCGAAGUAAUGAUUAAUAGGGAUAGUUGGGGGUAUUUAUAUUCCGAUGUCAGAGGUGAAAUUCUUAGAUUUUCGGAAGAUAAACUCAUGCGAAAGCAUUUACCAAGGAUGUUUUCAUUAA
This 382-nucleotide ribosomal RNA is filed under the name uncultured eukaryote. RNAcentral's name for it is "partial 18S ribosomal RNA". It matches the Rfam family "Eukaryotic small subunit ribosomal RNA", at positions 592 to 976 of the family's 1831-position model. The record is from RNAcentral.